This 760-nucleotide ribosomal RNA is filed under the name uncultured bacterium. Its description in RNAcentral is "bacterial SSU rRNA". It matches the Rfam family "Bacterial small subunit ribosomal RNA", at positions 28 to 777 of the family's 1533-position model. The record is from RNAcentral.
GAUGAACGCUAGCUACAGGCUUAACACAUGCAAGUCGAGGGGCAGCAUGGUCUUAGCUUGCUAAGGCCGAUGGCGACCGGCGCACGGGUGAGUAACACGUAUCCAACCUGCCGUCUACUCUUGGACAGCCUUCUGAAAGGAAGAUUAAUACAAGAUGGCAUCAUGAGUCCGCAUGUUCACAUGAUUAAAGGUAUUCCGGUAGACGAUGGGGAUGCGUUCCAUUAGAUAGUAGGCGGGGUAACGGCCCACCUAGUCUUCGAUGGAUAGGGGUUCUGAGAGGAAGGUCCCCCACAUUGGAACUGAGACACGGUCCAAACUCCUACGGGAGGCAGCAGUGAGGAAUAUUGGUCAAUGGGCGAGAGCCUGAACCAGCCAAGUAGCGUGAAGGAUGACUGCCCUAUGGGUUGUAAACUUCUUUUAUAAAGGAAUAAAGUCGGGUAUGCAUACCCGUUUGCAUGUACUUUAUGAAUAAGGAUCGGCUAACUCCGUGCCAGCAGCCGCGGUAAUACGGAGGAUCCGAGCGUUAUCCGGAUUUAUUGGGUUUAAAGGGAGCGUAGAUGGAUGUUUAAGUCAGUUGUGAAAGUUUGCGGCUUAACCGUAAAAUUGCAGUUGAUACUGGAUAUCUUGAGUGUAGUUGAGGCAGGCGGAAUUCGUGGUGUAGCGGUGAAAUGCUUAGAUAUCACGAAGAACUCCGAUUGCGAAGGCAGCCUGCUAAGCUGCAACUGACAUUGAGGCUCAAAAGUGUGGGUAUCAAACCAGG